This 230-nucleotide ribosomal RNA is filed under the name uncultured Desulfocapsa sp. RNAcentral's name for it is "partial 16S ribosomal RNA". It matches the Rfam family "Bacterial small subunit ribosomal RNA", at positions 1154 to 1382 of the family's 1533-position model. Lineage: Bacteria; Pseudomonadati; Thermodesulfobacteriota; Desulfobulbia; Desulfobulbales; Desulfocapsaceae. The record is from RNAcentral.
AGGUCAAACCGGGAGGAAGUGGGGAUGACGUCAAGUCCUCAUGGCCUUUAUGACCAGGGCUACACACGUACUACAAUGGCCGGUACAAAGGGCAGCCACUUAGCGAUAAGGAGCCAAUCCCGUAAAGCCGGUCUCAGUCCGGAUUGGAGUCUGCAACUCGACUCCAUGAAGUUGGAAUCGCUAGUAAUCGCAGAUCAGCACGCUGCGGUGAAUACCGGUUCCCGGGCCUU